AUUGAACGCUGGCGGCAGGCCUAACACAUGCAAGUCGAGCGAGCGGCGGACGGGUGUGUAAUGUCUGGGAAACUGCCUGAUGUAGGGGGAUAACUACUGGAAACGGUAGCUAAUACCGCAUACCAUCCGAUGUGCCCAGAGGGGAUUAGCGAGUAGGUGGGGUUAAGGCCUACAAAGGCGACGAUCCGUAACUGGGCUGAGAGGAUGAUCAGUAAAACUGGAACUGAGACACGGGCCAGACUACGACGGGAGGAAGCAGUGGGGAAUAUUGGAAAAUGGGCGAAAGCCUGAUCCAGCCAUGCCGCGUGUGUGAAGAAGGUCUUAGGAUUGUAAAGCACUUUAAGUUGGGAGGCGUUACCAACAGAAUAAGCACCGGCUAACGCCGUGCCAGCAGCCGCGGUAAUAC
RNAcentral lists this ribosomal RNA (406 nucleotides) under uncultured bacterium. Its description in RNAcentral is "partial 16S ribosomal RNA". It matches the Rfam family "Bacterial small subunit ribosomal RNA", at positions 29 to 526 of the family's 1533-position model. The record is from RNAcentral.